UUAAUUGAAACCAAAUCAGAGGUAAAUUAUUGUUAAUAAUUUUAUUGAAAAAUUAUCUUCCAAUUAAU
Molecule: transfer RNA, 68 nt
Filed under: Camponotus atrox
Lineage: Eukaryota; Metazoa; Arthropoda; Insecta; Hymenoptera; Formicidae
Description: tRNA-Asn
Source: RNAcentral